UAGAGAUAUUCGAUAAUGUUUUG
RNAcentral lists this microRNA (23 nucleotides) under Bombyx mori (domestic silkworm). RNAcentral describes it as "bmo-miR-3417". Lineage: Eukaryota; Metazoa; Arthropoda; Insecta; Lepidoptera; Bombycidae. The record is from miRBase by way of RNAcentral.